This 24-nucleotide small nuclear RNA is filed under the name Arabidopsis thaliana (thale cress). RNAcentral describes it as "snRNA_11995". Lineage: Eukaryota; Viridiplantae; Streptophyta; Magnoliopsida; Brassicales; Brassicaceae. The record is from RNAcentral.
UUAGCGGUUUCUAUGAUUGGUGCC